CGGUGAAUACGUUCCCGGACCUUGCACACACCGCCCGUCAAGCCAUGGAAGCUGGGUGUACCUAAAGUCGGUAACCGCAAGGAGCCGCCUAGGGUAAACUAGUACUGGGGCU
Molecule: ribosomal RNA, 112 nt
Filed under: uncultured bacterium
Lineage: Bacteria
Description: partial 16S ribosomal RNA
Rfam family: Bacterial small subunit ribosomal RNA
Source: RNAcentral